RNAcentral lists this ribosomal RNA (301 nucleotides) under uncultured bacterium. RNAcentral describes it as "partial 16S ribosomal RNA". It matches the Rfam family "Bacterial small subunit ribosomal RNA", at positions 509 to 809 of the family's 1533-position model. The record is from RNAcentral.
CAGUCGCCGCGGUAAUACGUAGGUGGCAAGCGUUGUCCGGAAUUAUUGGGCGUAAAGCGCGCGCAGGCGGAUAGGUCAGUCUGUCUUAAAAGUUCGGGGCUUAACCCCGUGAUGGGAUGGAAACUGCCAAUCUAGAGUAUCGGAGAGGAAAGUGGAAUUCCUAGUGUAGCGGUGAAAUGCGUAGAUAUUAGGAAGAACACCAGUGGCGAAGGCGACUUUCUGGACGAAAACUGACGCUGAGGCGCGAAAGCCAGGGGAGCGAACGGGAUUAGAGACCCCCGUAGUCCCUGUCUCUUAUACA